Molecule: long non-coding RNA, 2255 nt
Filed under: Citrus x clementina
Lineage: Eukaryota; Viridiplantae; Streptophyta; Magnoliopsida; Sapindales; Rutaceae
Description: Citrus clementina (C. clementina) long non-coding RNA (CCLE_LNC005426)
Source: RNAcentral
UUUUACCAGUUGAAUAAACUAUUAUCCACAAAAUAUUUUUUUUAAAGUUUAACAUUAUAUUUAUCGUUUCUAGGGGGUUAAUGAAUUAAUAUCCAUCAAACUUUUUACAUACUAAUUUUUAUACAAAGAUACAAAUAAGCACUAUUUUUCUUCAUAAAAAUGAAAAUUUGAGCCAUAAUCCAUAAAAAAAAGUUGAAAAGUUUUCAAAGUUAUUUAUUAUUUUUUGAGGAGAAAAUCAUAUUAUGAUAAUUGUAAUUGAAUACUUCAAGUGAAGAGGCUCUUCAGAAGAGCAUUCUUAUUCAUCUAUAACAUUCUCUUUAAUUGCAUUAUGAUCCACUAACAUACUGCAUUCCAUCCACUUAUCAAUGGUAAUGGUCCCCUCAUUUUUCACCUCAGGCCUCAAGGAAUCACGUGACUCCCGUGCACGAGAUGCCCAAACUGUGGUCCCGAAAGGGGACACUUCGCCACGUGUACCCCGCGUAUUGCACCUGAGAUGGGUGUCUUACGCUGCGACCCUGAUCCCUCAGGUUAACUGCGCAGGCCCAAUCACGACCGUUAACUUCAUAUUGUAGUUGUUUACAGAAAUCGGAAGAUUAUUAUCAAUCAACAUAGCAUUGAAUUUGGAGUGAUCAGAUUGUGGGGCCGGGUCACAAGAGACCGUGCUUGUCUCGGAUUCACGUGAAAGACAAUUUUUGGUCUCUGUAUUUUGGUCAUGAAUGAUGAUCCGAUGCUUCAUGUUCGUGCCAUCUCUUUCUCUUCUUUUGAUUGUAACACGAGUUGUAGCCUGGGCUCUGCGCAUCGAGCUCCUUUUCUUUCAUUCGGCAUCGAAAAUCUGGACCCACGUUAUGCAUCGACAAAGGAACUUGCACAGUUUUACAUUGCGUUGAGAAAAUAAUUUAAAUAAAUAAAAAUAAAUUGUCAUAUAACCAACAUAUGUACAUAAUUAUGUAGUUACAAUCAAUUAAAAUCAACACCAACUUUAUCUCGGUUGCUAAUUGAGUGGUAGUCUCUAUAUAUUGUUUGGUUGGUAAAGGGUGUUCAACAUAUUCAUACUGAAUUAUUUUGAAUUAUUUCUUAACCAUUUUAUUUUUUAUUGUUUUAAUUUUUAUCUAUAGAUAUUUUAUUCUGACCUCAUUUAUCUUAUGAUUGUUGAGAUUCAGAAAUAAAUGAGGUAUUUUAUUUAAAAAAAUAGAACUGACUUUUUCAAUUUUUAAAAUUUAAUUACAUUAUAAUAAAACUUCCAUUAUAACUUUGAAAGAGAAAUGACAGUAUCGAAUUCAUUUUCAUUUUCCAUGGCUUAUUAAAAUAAAAAUUCCAUUUUCCAUUAAAAUUUAAAUUUAGCUAAGUCUAACUACUCAGCAAUUGGCUACAAAGCUCUUGUUCUCCAUCAUCUUCCAUUGGCUCUAAGUUCCACUCAUUUGCCAAAGUGUCAAACACGUGGACAUUAAGCGUUAGCUUUAGGGUGCGUUUGAAAUUGAGGUUGGACAAAGUUACAGCACUAAAGUAUUUGGUAAAUAUUAUCUGCUGUAAUUUAAAAACUGUGUUCAUAUGAUUUUUCACUUGUAUGAUGUAAAAUCUAUUAUAUUUUUAAUAAUUUUGUUAAAAUUAUUAUUUAAAAUCUAUAUUCACUAAAUAUUAUUAACUUUUGUUCUAUAGUUACUGAUUAGUGUUAAGAAAUUAUACGUUUAUUAAGGGGUAAAAAUGUUAUUUUGUGCUAUUAAUGUAAUUUAUAUUUAUAAUUUGUAACAUAUUGUGAAUUUCUAAUUAUUUUUCUAAGUAUUUGAUUUUGUGUAUUUUUGUGUGUUUAUUAGGUAAAAAUAAUAAUUUCAUGCAAUUUGAGGCUCUAAACAAAUAUACGGAUGUCAAAUUUAGAUUCUGGAAGCUCGAGAAAUUAUGUCAUUGUCGAGGAGGAUCUGAGACUUUUGUUAUAAAUUUUUAAGUUUUUACUAUGGUAAAUGGGGUAAUUGUGAAAUUAUAAGUUUUUAUCAUAUUAGGUAUGGUAAUUGUUAGUGGAAUAUGUUGGAUGUGCUUGAGUGGAUUAAGUUAAGUUUAUGUUUUAUUAAUGGGACAAAUGUAAGACUAAGAUGUAAUUAGUUUUAUUUAUUUGUGUGGUGUGAAUUAACUAUGUAUUAGUAUAAAUAGAGGGAGGGGGAACACACCUCUUCACACCAUACAUUCUCUUCUCUUAUUUCCUCUCAAAUUCUUCUUUUCAUCUCUCUUUGUAAUUUUCAAUAAAUAAAAUUAGUUUUAUUUCA